Non-coding RNA from Podarcis lilfordi (Lilford's wall lizard), 73 nucleotides. NCBI's taxonomy places the organism in Eukaryota, Metazoa, Chordata, Lepidosauria, Squamata, Lacertidae. The record is from the annotation of a GenBank genome assembly.
ACAAGGAUAGCUCAGUCAGUAGAGCAUGAGACUCUUAAUCUUAGGGUUGUGUAUUUGAGCCCCGUUUUGUGCA